This 253-nucleotide ribosomal RNA is filed under the name uncultured bacterium. RNAcentral's name for it is "partial 16S ribosomal RNA". It matches the Rfam family "Bacterial small subunit ribosomal RNA", at positions 524 to 776 of the family's 1533-position model. The record is from RNAcentral.
UACGGGGGGGGCAAGCGUUGUUCGGAAUUACUGGGCGUAAAGGGCGCGUAGGCGGCCUUCUAAGUCAGACGUGAAAUCCCCCGGCUUAACCUGGGAACUGCGUCUGAUACUGGGAGGCUUGAGUAUGGGAGAGGGAUGUAGAAUUCCAGGUGUAGCGGUGAAAUGCGCAGAUAUCAGGAGGAACACCGAUGGCGAAGGCAGGUCUCUGGGCCAUAACUGACGCUGAGAAGCGAAAGCAUGGGGAGCGAACAGG